Molecule: ribosomal RNA, 604 nt
Filed under: uncultured bacterium
Lineage: Bacteria
Description: bacterial SSU rRNA
Rfam family: Bacterial small subunit ribosomal RNA
Source: RNAcentral
CCUACGGGAGGCAGCAGUGGGGAAUAUUGGACAAUGGGCGCAAGCCUGAUCCAGCCAUGCCGCGUGAGUGAUGAAGGCCUUAGGGUUGUAAAGCUCUUUUGCCAGGGAAGAUAAUGACUGUACCUGGAGAAUAAGCCCCGGCUAACUUCGUGCCAGCAGCCGCGGUAAUACGAAGGGGGCUAGCGUUGUUCGGAAUCACUGGGCGUAAAGCGCACGUAGGCGGACUUUUAAGUCAGGGGUGAAAGCCUGAGGCUCAACCUCAGAACUGCCCUUGAUACUGGGAGUCUUGAGUAUGGUAGAGGUUGGUGGAACAGCAAGUGUAGAGGUGAAAUUCGUAGAUAUUUGCUAGAACACCAGUGGCGAAGGCGGCCAACUGGACCAUAACUGACGCUGAGGUGCGAAAGCGUGGGGAGCAAACAGGAUUAGAUACCCUGGUAGUCCACGCCGUAAACGAUGGAUGCUAGCCGUUAGCCAGUCUUGCUGGGUAGUGGCGCGAACGGUUAACCCUUUAAGCUACGUCCCGCCGUGGGGAGUCGGUCGCAAGUAUUAAAACUCAAUGAAUUGACCGGNGUGAGAGCGCCGACGACGACGACGAGGGAGGAGG